GACGAACGCUGGCGGCGUGCUUAACACAUGCAAGUCGAACGGAAAGGCCCUGCUUUUGUGGGGUGCUCGAGUGGCGAACGGGUGAGUAACACGUGAGUAACCUGCCCUUGACUUUGGGAUAACUUCAGGAAACUGGGGCUAAUACCGGAUAGGAGCUCCUGCUGCAUGGUGGGCGUUGGAAAGUUUCGGCGGUUGGGGAUGGACGCGCGGCUUAUCAGCUUGUUGGUGGGGUAGUGGCUUACCAAGGCAUUGACGGGUAGCCGGCCUGAGAGGGUGGCCGGCCACAUGGGGACUGAGGGACGGCCCAGAGUCCAACGGGAGGCAGCAGUGGGGAAUAUGGCACAAUGGGCGGAAGCCUGAUACAGAAGCGCCGCGUGCGGGAUGACGGCCUUCUGGGUGUAAACCGCUUUCGCCUGUGACGAAGCGUGAGUGACGGUAAUGGGUAAAGAAGCACCGGCUAACUACGUG
RNAcentral lists this ribosomal RNA (468 nucleotides) under uncultured bacterium. RNAcentral describes it as "partial 16S ribosomal RNA". It matches the Rfam family "Bacterial small subunit ribosomal RNA", at positions 28 to 507 of the family's 1533-position model. The record is from RNAcentral.